This 286-nucleotide long non-coding RNA is filed under the name Homo sapiens (human). RNAcentral describes it as "HSALNT0304194". The record is from RNAcentral. Lineage: Eukaryota; Metazoa; Chordata; Mammalia; Primates; Hominidae.
GAGGUUGUGCUCUGGGAACAUGCAAAUGAGCAGGGGAUGGGGCAGGCUGGGCACAGCUGCAGAGCUGGCGCAUCUCAGUAACUCAGCACCAGCUCAGUGUCCCCACGUGUCCCAGGGACAUCAUCCUGACCCAGACACCAAGAUCCCUGUUAACAUCUUUUGGAAAGAGGCACUCAAUCUUUUAUCAAGCAACUGCCCAGGGAAGAGGUAAUUGGGAAAUGUAGGCAACCUGGAGAGAAUAGAUGAGAAUAGAAAUGCAUCCUCAAAAGAACAGGUAAUCACCUCC